UUCAAAUCCAAGCUCGAGCUUAGUGAAAAUCUAAUGAGCUGGGCCUGAGCUCUUUAAAGCUCAGCUCAUUUACACCCUACACAGAGGGUACGGGUAGCACUUGAUCAGCCAUGAUAAUAUGGAUAUGUUUAUCUAGAAGAAAACAUGCAGCAAGUUCAUAAUUUUUGAAUUAUUAGUACAGCAGUAGUCACCAUCAUAAAUACAGAAAUACUCCACUACCGCCCAUGGUUGAAGGCUUUAAUACAGCAAAAAUAGCAAACAUCAUAAUUGCUGACAAUGUUUUUCACAUUAGUAGUCCCAAAUUCCAACUUUCUUUUUUCUUG
Molecule: unclassified non-coding RNA, 323 nt
Filed under: Hevea brasiliensis (rubber tree)
Lineage: Eukaryota; Viridiplantae; Streptophyta; Magnoliopsida; Malpighiales; Euphorbiaceae
Source: RNAcentral